GCCAGACAAUGGCCUGGAGGAGAGAUGGUGCAUGCAAAAUGGGGGUCCAAGAGGAAACCCAUCUCCUACUGUGCAAGGGCUAUCCAAGACUCUGGGAUCACUGACUUGGCCCCGUGGAACACUGGGAAGUGCAGAUAGGAGAGGUUCUGGUCUCGGCCUCACUGGUUCAGAGGGCUGGCCAUGGGGGUCCCUGCCAACCGCAAGCCUGAGGGGAGAGGAGAGCUUUGCAGGAACAGAAGAAGGAAUGUCUCAAGGAACGCAGCAGACCAGGCUCCCAGACAGGUCUGGAAGUCUCUCCAUCCCGGGUCUCCUUCACUGCUCUCUAAAGCUCUGCCAGGAAGUCCUUGUGUUGAUUAAACCUCCAUGCUCCUUGCUGCAUGUCAGCUGUG
Molecule: long non-coding RNA, 389 nt
Organism: Suricata suricatta (meerkat)
Lineage: Eukaryota; Metazoa; Chordata; Mammalia; Carnivora; Herpestidae
Exons: 2
Source: RefSeq, a predicted model, not a curated record